Molecule: long non-coding RNA, 5392 nt
Organism: Solea senegalensis (Senegalese sole)
Lineage: Eukaryota; Metazoa; Chordata; Actinopteri; Pleuronectiformes; Soleidae
Exons: 3
Source: RefSeq, a predicted model, not a curated record
GCGUGGACGGAAGAGCGUGAAAGACCUGUGGCAGCAGCAGCAGCAGCUGGAGAGCGAGGCACUCACGCACUCAUUAAUUCACCCAUUCAUUCAGCCCCGCGGUGCAGUUAAAGGGCGUCGCUGUUCACUUUAACACCUCCCAGCUUUCAGCGUUUCUUUGUCCCGGCUUUUCUUGCGUGUGUAGUGGGUUGUUUUUUUGUGUCCCUGUGGACUGAACUCACGUCAGUGCGCAGCUGCUGUUGACGCUCCUACAUCUGCUGCUCGGCUCGGCUCGGCUCGGCUCAGCUCAGCUCGGCUCUUCUGUGCACGGCGGCCAUAGACGAGGACGACGCUCCUGCGUUUUACUGCGGGUGAAUGAAGUGACUGCACACUCACACACGGCGGUGAUGAUCCGGUCAGGAAGCUCGAUGGAGAACGAGAAGAAACCGAAAAGGAGAAGAAGGAGAUUUUGGCUGUGUUUCUGAACCUUUGGCUGCUGAUGUACAGAGCUGAUGACAUGUCACCAGUCAGGACACUGGGAGGAUCCACACUGGGAGCCACCAUCAUGACAGGUUAUGUGUACUGACUGAAUUACCUUUUAUUAACACAAACACGGAAGUCUCUUGUCACGGACAAGUGAUAUCAGUUAGGCAAAUCUAGUCUCAGCGUUCCAUCACUUGUGUAACUGAGAUCAGAGAAGCAGAAAAAAGUGAUUCAGAUCUUGAAGCAUUUGGGUUUCGUUCCAUUUUCGUUUGUCUCUGAAGAGAAAAGCAGCAAGGAGAAUCAAUGACGCAAAAGAACAGGCAUCGCCCGCAGGUGUUUGGGAGGACAGUUGGGUUGCGUUCCACUUUUCUGCUGCUUUGUGUUCUGUGUGUUCCUCUCCAGUUACACCGAUGGAAACGCAAUAGAGUGGGACUCACACCGGAGACUGCUGCAUUGUUCACCUGACGGACUCGCACCGAGGACCCCUGCUGCUGCCAACACGGCCUGUGAUGGAAGCACGAUGCCACCACAGCGUUCCGAGAAGAAUAUCCACGUGGAAGUGUUCACCAGCUGGGAGACGAUUUGUGCCGCCUUUGUGUGUCAGUGGAGAAGGAUUUAAAAAAAAAGAAGAAGAAGAAGAAAAAAAAUCCCCUUUCUAUUCACUGUGAGCACGGUCACGUUGAGCAGGAAGGUUAUUUCAUGCGUUUUCAAAAAUGAUUCACUGCAGUGUUGUUUUUCUCCCCCUCCCAGCCCCAAAAUGUGUGUGAAACCAUUAGAGCUUCAUCCACUCCCACUCUCCCUCUCUCUCUCCCCCCCCACCUCUCUCUCUCUCUCACUCUCUCAAAACACUGCAGCCAUCCAACACAUCACACUUGCCUCCUUCUGCUGCUGUGUGCAGUGACCUGCGCUGUUGCCAUGGUUACAAACACUUAAGUCACUACUACCAGGAGUGGUGUUUCAACUGUGGUUAAAGGGAUAGUCCAGUUUUUUUUGGUUUGUUUGUUUUUUUUAAAGCAUAACUUAACCCCCAAACAAAUUAUUUAUAGGUGUAAACCAGUGUAUUUAAGUACCUGGAUGAUGUAACGUAUUGAAAUUAUACAUGUCACAGACUCCUCCCCCUUUUAUAUAAAAGCUGAAGCUGUUGCUCCCUGCACUGAUCCCCACUCUCCCUCACUCGGGUCUCAUCCCAGCUUCUAGGUAUUUUUCAAAAUCAGGCACUGGGGCGGAGUUAGCCUCAGGAGAUGGGGGUUUAGUUAUGGUUAUAUGAGGUAUUACCAGACCCUCUUUCUGAUUAACAAAAUAGGUUCACCUAAUAAAAAUCUACACUUGCUUUAGUCUGCGAGUAGUGGUUUACAAGCAAACAUCAUUCUUAAAAUACCACAGAUCAAAGCAGAUAUAGAUUUUACUCUGUGGCUAAAAUCUCUUGUCUAUGUUUUCACUGCAAAGUCAGUGUGGACAACACCUUAUAUAGCCACAAAAAAACCCUGAACUAUCCCUUUAACUUGUUAAUCAGCCAACAUGUAGAUCAGAACUGCUUGAAUAUUUAAAGUGUGAGAUAAUGUAUUUUCUAUCUAAUUUGACGUGAUUCUAUUUAUUACAAACACUUUUUACUGUCACGUGUGGGUGUGUGUUUGUGUGUCUGUGUGAGUGUGUGUGUUCUACAUAUAUGUGUGUGUGUAUGUGUCGUCAUUCCCAUAAAGGUGCAUGUGUUUUGUCUACCUCACAAAAAUGUAUUUGUGUUGCGUCAGAAGCUGCUUUACAGUGAUUUCCCUCACAGUUUAACAGGGGGAAAAAAAUAACCUUUCCAAAUGCCCAAAGUUCAAUGUUUAAGAGCCAGAAAUGGGACAAAAAAUAUUUACAAAUGAUUAUUAGCAUUUUCUUUACAGCCUCAUGUGAAUAUAAUUACAAGAACGAUGCUGGGAAUUAAUGGUGUGUACUUUUCUAAAUGAUGCCUGCUGGCAUUAAUUAACAGUUUGCAUUGUCGUAUGAUACUUAAGCGAAUGACAUCAAAUGCUAAUAAUUAUUUGCAAAUAGCUUUUUUUUUUAAACUAUUUUUGUACUAACACAAUCUAAUAUCUAACAUUACUAAUGUCUGCUAACAGUCGGGUGAUUACUAACCUUUACUCUUGAGUGCUGAUGGCUGGUUCUGUCUAUUAACCCACUGACUAACCCUCUGCUUUGUGCUCACACUCCUCUCUCAUCAUCCUGCAAUCCUUCUGCUACAAACAGUGGAUCAAUCAAGAAAGAAAGAAAGAGAGAAAAUUUAAAAAAGUAAGAAUGUCAAGAAGGAUUUCAGGACAUGGGAAGGGAAAUGUUUUUAUUGUUAACUGAAGAGAUGAAAAGAAGCAGAAACAGCUGCUGACGUUAAAGGGGGUUCGACCACAGCACUUAAAGCUGCAGUACGUAACUCGUGGUGGUUUAUUUUAUAAUUAUUAUUUAGCCUAAAGAUCUGACAUUUUUAAGAUUUGGUCGGUGUCAGAUAGAGGCUUCUUAAAACAAGAAGGCUCCAAUUGGACGAUACUAGCUGUCAAUCACACUGGUGUCUAUUUAUUGUCUAUUUUCCUGUAAAUUGGCAUCCUGUUCUAUUGAGGAAGACUAGCAAAACUAGCAAUAGACACCAUUAACUCCUGAGGAGAAAAUGCUCAGUGACUUAAUAAGUAACUUAAUUAGUUCAAUAACUUAAUCCAGUGGGAAGUAGAUGCUAAUAUUUGCCAUUGACUUCCAUUCAAACUUGCCCUCUAGUGGCUAUUGAGUAUAUUUGUUAAUCCUGGGUCGGCCUCCUCUGGCAAACCAGAAGGCUACAGUUUUUUUUCUUAUCGUGACAAUACUCAAAUUGUCUCUGUCAAGCAAAAUGAUCAGACCUGACUGAGGGAGUGUUUAUCUAUAUACAACGGCAGAGCAGGGGGGCCGGGCCAAGAGACGUUUUUUAUUUUUAUUUUUAUUUUGGAGGGGUAGACUUUAUUUCUAAAAAUGUUUUGAGGGCGCUUUUUUGUAUUGUCUUUCUUUACUCUCUUUACAGUUUCUGCCUGUCUCAAUCGCUUCCCUUGUGUCACCGGGCGACACAAAAGUAACUAAGAUUACUUAUCAAUGGUUUGACUAUUUAAGACAUUUAAUUUACACAGAAUUCAUUGGAAGCGUUACGCACUACAGCUUUAAAAGACCCCACACAACGCUGAGUCCGAUGUGAUUCCAAACUGUCUGAACUGAGACACUCAGAGACCAGCGUUGUGUGUGAACUCUGUGGUUAGCAUGUGCAGACAGACAGGUGAGUGUCUAUAGCUUGGUGUCACUACACAGUGAGACACGAGCCAAGCUAACGUCUCCCUAAAGGCCCAUUUAUACUCGGCACAAAAGACGGCGACGGACGGAGCCUUGUGUCCAUACUUUGCGUUCAUUUUGUCCAAGCAAUACCACAGGAAAUCAUGGGGGCAGUAUAGAGUCAUUAGUCCAAUCAGUCAGGAAAACUGAGUGACAGUCAGGUGCUAGCUUCUCUCACUAGCGCGUAGUGGUUUGAUUCGAGGGGCUAUCCAGCUAAGCUAGUUAUCAAAAAGUCAUGGCGACAUAUGGACACAUUUGAGACUUACAUUCAGUGGUUUUACGUUACACAGCCACGAAACCCGCUUGCGUAUCAGUCUAUUUUAGGUCAAGCUAUAUUUGUUGAUGCCUGCAACUACAACAGUGGAUGUAAAACGGAAUUAAAUUGGAGUAUAAAUGGGCCUUAAUGCCACAACUAACUACUGCUGGUGUUGGUUAUAACGCUGCGUUCCAUUUACAUCAGAAGUCGGGAAGUGGGGAACUGUCAGUUAGCAUUGUUAGCAAUACCAGUCACUAACAAUGCUGUACAUGUUUUUUUUUGUGCACACAAAUAUGCUUAUUGUUAGAAAAUACAGUAGAAAUUACAGUGUUAUGUUAAUUACAGAAACAGUGUUAUGUGUACGACUGAUUUACCAUAAAACAAAUGCGACAGAAGUGCUAUUAACUAUAAAAGUAGCACUGUUUAUCUUGGAAUCCUGAACUUUAACGUAAAAAAUUCCGAGUUCUGACUUCAAAUGAAACGCAGCGUAACAUCGCUAAUGCUGUAAAACUCCACCCGUUGCUUGUACUAACAUCUCUUCUCUCUAUGACUGAAACAUCACUUCUGCAGCACCGAUGUCUUUUUUCUUAAUCUUUAAUUAAACCUAACCUUUUCAGUAGCUUUCAUGUUCAGGAAAUCACACUGCAUGGGAUUUUUUUUUUAAUCCAAAAUGUAACCAAGACCAACAGAAAUCCUAAUCAUUUAAUUUCCCUCAGCAGUUUUGUUCUCUUGAUAAUCUACUAACAUCUCUUUAAAGGUAAAACUAACUAACAGUUACUAACCUGGGGAGCCUCCUUUAACUCCCUGAAAACUAACAAACUAACCUACUAAUAAACUAAUUAAUAACAAAAACAAAACACAACUAAACCACUAAUUGGCAGAUUUAGCUGAAGCUGCCGGUGUAUUUUUUCAUUGACUGUACUAACAAAGUUAAGAUUUACAUAUUCAUGACGUGGUUGAAUGUGAAUGUGUGUGAACGUGUAAGUGACAUGUGAACAUUGCAUUCUUUUAGAAUCAUUUUGGUCAAAAUGCUGAAUUUAGAUGAAUUUUCCCAACUUUUUAGUCACGAUUUAUGGGUAAAUGUUUUAAAUCACUUGCAUAAAAUGACAUAAUACACAGAUAUGGCUGUAAUUUAUUCGCUACGUUAUUCUCAAAUUUGCUCUUGUCACAACUGAUUUUGUGAAUUGGGUCACGAUAGUUUGUCGUCUUAAACUCUUCCCUGUGUAGAGAGUUUAGGAAACACUAAAUGUAAUUUACCAGCUGUUUUUAUUGAAUAGUUUUGUAAUAACCUGAAAUAAAUCAUGUUUUUAAAAAAAAAACUGUUGUUUAUAUAAAGUGUCUUUUUGAUCUCCUGGA